GUGAAAAACUCGUUCGCCGGAAGACCAAGGGUUCCUGUCCAACGUUAAUCGGGGCAGGGUGAGUCGGCCCCUAAGGCGAGGCUGAAAAGCGUAGUCGAUGGGAAACGGGUUAAUAUUCCCGUACUUGGUAAAGCUGCGAUGUGGGGACGGAGAAGGUUAGGUUAGCAGACUGUUGGAUGUCUGUUUAAGUUGGUAGGUGGGGAGUUUAGGCAAAUCCGGACUUCCAUAACACUGAGAGAUGAUGACGAGUUUCUACGGAAAUGAAGUAACUGAUACCACGCUUCCAGGAAAAGCCACUAAGCGAAAGGCUUUACUAAACCGUACUGAAAACCGACACAGGUGGUCAGGUAGAGAAUACUCAGGCGCUUGAGAGAACUCGGGUGAAGGAACUAGGCAAAAUAGCACCGUAACUUCGGGAGAAGGUGCGCUGGCGUAGGUUGU
Molecule: ribosomal RNA, 441 nt
Filed under: Glaesserella parasuis
Lineage: Bacteria; Pseudomonadati; Pseudomonadota; Gammaproteobacteria; Pasteurellales; Pasteurellaceae
Description: partial 23S ribosomal RNA
Rfam family: Bacterial large subunit ribosomal RNA
Source: RNAcentral